GGCCACGUAGCCAAGUAGCAAGGCAACUGUCUGCAAAACAGUUAUGCGCCGGUGCAAUUCCGGCCGUGGCCUC
Molecule: transfer RNA, 73 nt
Filed under: Parcubacteria group bacterium ADurb.Bin305
Lineage: Bacteria
Description: tRNA-Cys
Rfam family: tRNA
About the family: Transfer RNA (tRNA) molecules are approximately 80 nucleotides in length. Their secondary structure includes four short double-helical elements and three loops (D, anti-codon, and T loops). Further hydrogen bonds mediate the characteristic L-shaped molecular structure. tRNAs have two regions of fundamental functional importance: the anti-codon, which is responsible for specific mRNA codon recognition, and the 3' end, to which the tRNAs corresponding amino acid is attached (by aminoacyl-tRNA synthetases). tRNAs cope with the degeneracy of the genetic code in two manners: having more than one tRNA (with a specific anti-codon) for a particular amino acid; and 'wobble' base-pairing, i.e. permitting non-standard base-pairing at the 3rd anti-codon position.
Source: RNAcentral